This 204-nucleotide long non-coding RNA is filed under the name Gossypium raimondii (Peruvian cotton). Its description in RNAcentral is "long non-coding RNA (GRAI_LNC008441)". The record is from RNAcentral. Lineage: Eukaryota; Viridiplantae; Streptophyta; Magnoliopsida; Malvales; Malvaceae.
UUUAGUAGAAGAGUUUAAAAAUUUUGUUAAAGAUCAAUAACGCGAUGUUUUUAGUGUACAUUUUUUUUAUGGUGAAAUUGUAAAAGGUGAUGUUAGUUGUGUAUUUCAAGGUCGACAAAGAGUAGGUGUAACAACCUGUUUUCCAGUGGUGUCAGAAACAGUAGUUUUGGGGUCACAAAUCCAACGAGUAGGUUUGUAAAUAUU